UUGCUGAACCUUUCUCCUCCUCUCACUUUUCUCUCUCCUCGCCUUCCCCUCACCAAACAACACUGCAUUUCUAGGGUUAGACUUCUCCCGCAAAGAUGGUAUUCAAUCAACUCUAUCCUCGAUCGCCUCGAAGGCGGCGUCCCCCUCAACAGCCGCGGCGGAAAUGGGUUUUAGGGUUUCUAAGGAAAUGUUUUCAUUGAAGGAGAGAGAUUCAAAUUGAAACUUCCGUAAAAAAUAAUCGAAUUAGGGGUUUAGGAAAGGGGAUUCGAUUAUAGAUAAGAACGGAUUGAAGGUCGAUAAUGGAGGAGAUAGAAAUCGAUGGUGGGUGAUGGCUCCUUGGAGGCGGCGGCGAUGGCGGCUCACCUUCCAUUUCAUCCUUUCAGAAUGUUCAACUUCUUGCAGAAUUUUUAAUCGCUGGAAUUCUGUUGCACCAACUGAAGUUGAUGAAUCACAUUUUAUCAUCAAACCCUCAAUUUCAAAUAAUCCAGUUAACCACAUUAACAAGGACAAGGCCAUUAGAGAGAUUAGAUCUUCUGCGGUUGAAAGACACAAAGGAGGAUUUUAUUGAACCAGAGAGAUAGCGGGAGGAGACGGACGGUUAGCACACCGGCGGUAUAGUCGAGCAGCGAAUCAAUCUGAAUUUGGUAAUUUCUAUCACAUAAAUUCAAUUUCAUAAUUCUAGGGUUUCCACCUUUUUCCCAAUUUUAUGAGAUAAACAACACUUUUUUGAAUUGCUAAUAAUCAAGUCUUAUGGAAAUUCUGUUUAUAUACUCAUUUUGGGGGAUUUUAUUUGUUGUUUGAUUCAUCCCUUCCUGGGUUUUUCUAAUUUUUUAUGGUUUUUGCUUAGAAAAACGUGGCCCUCUAUUUUUCACUCAAUUUCCGGUGAAAAUAGGGUUGGUGGUUAUCGAUUGCAAUCCUCAUAAGUUGACGAAAAAAUGUCAACUUCAAUCAACUUAUUGAUAAGCUUCUCUGACAUUUCUCUUACUACAUCAGUUAAAUUCAUUAUUUUCUCUUUUCUUCUUCAACUUAAUUAUUGGUUUUCGACUUUGAUAAUUGCAGUGGACUCCAAAAUCUGUCACAAAUAAUCAUCAGACAUCGUUAAUUAAUCAGAAAGUACGCAGAACGGUUUCAAUUAGAGCUUUCUUUUUCAAUCCAUCUGACGAACCAAUUCUCAAGGAAGCAGUCAAGGAAAGGUGCUUCCAGGAGCAGGGCGUGCAGGGUGGGAAACUGAGGAAAUAGAUUAAAUGGUAGCUUGGGUUUCUAGGAAGUUUAGGACAUUGAAGGUGAGGUGUAACUGUUUUUCCAUAAUAAGGAGUUUAAAGGAGUUCAAGCAUGCUGAAUGCCCCGUCAUUACAAUCAAGCGACGUGCAAAGGAGGUUCCAGGCUCCUCAAGACCCUGUAGAUGACUAAGUGCUUAUGCUCUGGCUGAACCGUGGCUGAACUAUUUGUAUAUAGACCUGAUUUUAAGUGUGAACAUUUUGUAAAUUUUGUUAAUUUUAUGGGGACAAUCUCGAAUCAAAUAUGGGUGUGAGGUUUAUUUUUGUGUGUAUGACAAUAAAUUGAAGAUGCAUCGUUGUGAUCUUUUGAACAACGGUUUUUGUGA
Molecule: long non-coding RNA, 1603 nt
Organism: Spinacia oleracea (spinach)
Lineage: Eukaryota; Viridiplantae; Streptophyta; Magnoliopsida; Caryophyllales; Amaranthaceae
Exons: 6
Source: RefSeq, a predicted model, not a curated record